AGAGGAGCCAAGCGUUGUCCGGAUUGACUGGGCGUAAAGCGCACGCAGGCGGAUGUGCGCGUGGGGUGUGAAAUCUGGCCGCUUAGCGGCCAGGCGCCAUCCCAUACGGCACGUCUGGAGGGCUGCAGAGGUCGAUGGAAUUGCCGGUGUAGUGGUGAAAUGCGUAGAGAUCGGCAGGAACACCCAGGGGGAAACCAGUCGACUGGGCAGCAACUGACGCUGAGGUGCGAGAGCGUGGGGAGCGAACCGGAUUAGAUACCCGGGUAGUCCACGCCGUAAACGAUGGCCACUCGGCCUUUGGGGGCGGAAUCUCCGUUUCUGGGGGCCUUAGCUAACGCGGGAAGUGGCCCGCCUGGGAACUACGAGCGCAAGCUUA
This 376-nucleotide ribosomal RNA is filed under the name uncultured bacterium. RNAcentral's name for it is "bacterial SSU rRNA". It matches the Rfam family "Bacterial small subunit ribosomal RNA", at positions 527 to 896 of the family's 1533-position model. The record is from RNAcentral.